CGGCCGCCAUGUUAGGAGUACUGGGACGAUUCCGCGGAGCCGGGCAGAGGUUUUAGGGGAAUGAUUAACAAAGGCGUCCGAAGAAAUCGUUGUUGGAAGGUGACCAAGGUGGAAAGAGACGUUGCUUUGGCCCUGCAAGUAAGAAGAGAGAGGGAAUAGCCUGAAGGAGUAACACUAAAUUUAAAAUGACACUUUUUUACCAACCAGCGAAAGCAGAUGUUCAAAGGGGAUAUUGGCCAGAGUCUGUCACACUAAGAUGAGAAAUGUCCUUUCUUCCUGAAGGUGUCUGAUGUGUAAAAAUAUGAUAUACUUUGUGCUGUUUCCUCCCUUCCCUUUUGCAUAUUAUUCUGAAACAACAUUAACUAGUUACUUUGCGUCAUUGAAGGUAUGCACUUCCCCUCUAUGUUAGGAGUGAAUAAAAUUAAAAAUAGAUCCUUAUAACAAAGAAAGGCAGAUAGAAUGAUUAAAAAUGACCAAAACAUGUUAGAAACAGUCUCUCAGGUGUAUGCAGAUGGUAAUUACAAAAAUACUUUUUCAAAAAAUGAUCUUCUGUGUCAUGUUUCUGGGAACAAGUCAAGAUGAAUGAGUUUGAUUUUUAAGCAGAAGUAGUAUGUGUUGGUGUCAUCCAUGAAUACAACAAUGAAAAAGGCUCAAAGUUGUUGUUAUUCAGAAACUUCUCUAAGUAAUGGUGGUAAGUACAGG
RNAcentral lists this long non-coding RNA (702 nucleotides) under Homo sapiens (human). RNAcentral describes it as "non-protein coding RAB30-AS1:10". Lineage: Eukaryota; Metazoa; Chordata; Mammalia; Primates; Hominidae. The record is from RNAcentral.